CGUGAGGGAAAGGUGAAAAGCACCCCGGGAGGGGAGUGAAACAGUUCCUGAAACCGUGCGCCCACAAACCGUCGGAGCCUCUGUGUGGGGUGACGGCGUGCCUAUCGAAAAAUGAGUCUGCGAGUCAGUGGCGGGUGGCGAGCAUAAGCCGUGUGGCGUAUGCGUAGCGAAAGCGAGUCUUAAAAGGCGUUUUUAGUCGCUUGUCCUGGACCCGAAGCGGGAUGAUCUAGCCCUGGGCAGGUUGAAGCGCGGGUAAGACCGCGUGGAGGACCGAACCCACCUGGGUUGAAAACCGGGGGGAUGACCUGGGGCUAGGGGUGAAAGGCCAAUCAAAUUCCGUGAUAGCUGGUUCUCUCCGAAAUGCAUUUAGGUGCAGCGUCGGUCGAUUGCGUCGCGGGGGUAGAGCUACCGGAUGCUUGCGGGCCCUUGUUGGGUACCAACAGCAGCCGAACUCCGAAUACCGUUGACGUGUAUUCCGGCAGUGAGUCGGCGGGGGAUAAGCUCCGUCGUCGAGAGGGAGACAGCCCAGACCGUCGUCUAAGGUCCCGAAGCGUGUGCUAAGUGGGAAAGGAUGUGGAGUCGCAUAGACAGCCAGGAGGUUGGCUCAGAAGCAGCCAUCCUUGAAAGAGUGCGUAACAGCUCACUGGUCUAGUGGUUCCGCGCCGACAAUGUAGCGGGGCUCAAGCACACCACCGAAGACGCGGCAGCAAUCUUCAUGGUUGCUGGGUAGGAGAGCGUCCUGCGAGGGGCGAAGCGGCCGGGUAACCGUGCCGUGGACUUCGUGGGAGUGAGAAUGCAGACAUGAGUAGCGAGAGACGGGUGAGGAUCCCGUCCGCUGGAUGACCAAGGGUUCCGGGGCCACGUUCGUCGUCCCCGGGUGAGUCGGGUCCUAAGGCGAGGCCGACAGGCGUAGUCGAAUGGAUGAACGGGUGGAUAUUCCCGUACCGACCAUGGACCGGCAAAACCGAGACGGUGAGUACUAACCUCCGCCUCGUGGUGGUUCCUUCCUUCGGGUUGGUUCCGCCGCGUGGUGUUGGGAGCGUAGCCGCAGUAGGUCAGCGCAGGGGUGACACGGAAUGGGAGCCGGCCGCGGAGGUGGUUUUCCGUGGUCAAGCACGCAGCCAGUCAUGUAGGCAAAUCCGCAUGGCGCGCAUGGCGAGGUGUGAUGAUGGGAGCCGUUAUGGCUCGAUAUCCGGUUGUCCAGGCCGUCGAGAAAAGCCUCGGCGUGAGGGCCAUGGCCGCCCGUACCCCAAACCGACACUGGUGGUCAGGUAGAGAAUACCAAGGCGAUCGAGCGAAUCCUGGUCAAGGAACUCGGCAAAUCACUCCCGUGCCUUCGGUAUAAGGGAGACCCACUGGGGUGAAGGACCUUGCGUCCGGAGCUUUGGUGGGUGGCACAGACCAGGGGGUAGCGACUGUUUACCAAAAACACAGGUGCAUGCGAAGGCGAAAGCCGCUGUAUAUGCACUGACGCCUGCCCGGUGCCGGAAGGUUAAGAGGAUCCGUCAGUCCUUCGGGAUGAAGCGGUGAAUUCAAGCCCCGGUAAACGGCGGUGGUAACUAUAACCAUCCUAAGGUAGCGAAAUUCCUUGUCGGGUAAGUUCCGACCUGCACGAAUGGCGUAACGACUUCCCCACUGUCUCGACCAGGAGCUCGGCGAAAUUGCAGUACGAGUAAAGAUGCUCGUUAAGCGCAGAAGGACGAAAAGACCCCGGGACCUUUACUAUACCUUGGUAUUGGCGUUAGGCGCGGAUUGUGUAGCAUAGGCGGGAGGCUUCGAAGCGUGGGCGCCAGCUCAUGUGGAGCCGCAAGGUGAAAUACCGCUCUGUUCUCGUUUGACGUCUAACCUCGACAAGUCAUCCUUGUCAGGGACAGUGCCUGGCGGGUAGUUCAACUGGGGCGGUUGCCUCCCAAAGAGUAACGGAGGCGCUCAAAGGUCCGCUCAGCCCGGUUGGCAAUCGGGUGUCGAGUGUAAUCGCACAAGCGGGCUUGACUGCGAGGACGACGGUCCGAGCAGGGACGAAAGUCGGAGAUAGUGAUCCGGUGCCGGCGCACGGGCGCGGCAUCGCUCAACGGAUAAAAGGUACCCCGGGGAUAACAGGCUGAUCAUUCCCAAGAGUCCAUAUCGACGGGAUGGUUUGGCACCUCGAUGUCGGCUCGUCGCAUCCUGGGGCUGGAGCAGGUCCCAAGGGUUCGGCUGUUCGCCGAUUAAAGCGGCACGCGAGCUGGGUUCAGAACGUCGUGAGAC
Molecule: ribosomal RNA, 2247 nt
Filed under: human gut metagenome
Description: bacterial LSU rRNA
Rfam family: Bacterial large subunit ribosomal RNA
Source: RNAcentral